RNAcentral lists this ribosomal RNA (519 nucleotides) under uncultured Glomeraceae. RNAcentral describes it as "SSU rRNA". It matches the Rfam family "Eukaryotic small subunit ribosomal RNA", at positions 569 to 1083 of the family's 1831-position model. The record is from RNAcentral. Lineage: Eukaryota; Fungi; Glomeromycota; Glomeromycetes; Glomerales; Glomeraceae.
AGCAGCCGCGGUAAUUCCGGCUCCAAUAGCGUAUAUUAAAGUUGUUGCAGUUAAAAAGCUCGUAGUUGAAUUUCGGGGUCAGUAGGUUGGUCAUGCCACUGGUAUGUACUGGCCUCACUGAUUCCUCCUUCCUGAUGAGCCGUAAUGCCAUUAAUUUGGUGUUGCGAGGAAUCUGGACUGUUACUUUGAAAAAUUAGAGUGUUUAAAGCAGGCUAACGCUUGAAUACAUUAGCAUGGAAUAAUGAAAUAGGACGUUCGAUCUUAUUUUGUUGGUUUCUAAGAUUGACGUAAUGAUUAAUAGGGAUAGUUGGGGGCAUUAGUAUUCAAUUGUCAGAGGUGAAAUUCUUGGAUUUAUUGAAGACUAACUACUGCGAAAGCAUUUGCCAAGGAUGUUUUCAUUAAAUCAAAGAACGAAAGUUAGGGGGAUACGGAAGACGAUCAGAUACCGUCGUAGUCUUAACCAUAAACCUAUGCCGAACUAGGGAUCGGAUGAUGUUUUAAAUUUUUUAAUGUACUCUA